AAGCACAAGCAUGUUCUGGAUGGUUUUGGAGAGAAGAGCAACCUUCCCUACACAUGAUUGCUUAGAUGAGCCUCCAAACGCUGGCAUGUUCUGAAGAAGGAAGCGGAGAGGCGCGGGCGUUGCAGAGGGAGCCUCGAGCUGAGCUGGGCUGGGAGUCAUUAAAGGAGGCGGCUGUCCCCGGGGCCCCAGACGGCGUCUCAUCAAGAUGCCCUGGAACUCGCCCAGCUUUGCUUCAGAUGUUCCAAGCUCAUUUUGGCUCAACUGGAUGUGGUUUCCAGGAACUCAUCAGGAUAAGGAGACAUGUAUCUUUGCACUGGAUAAACUGA
Molecule: long non-coding RNA, 326 nt
Filed under: Sus scrofa (pig)
Lineage: Eukaryota; Metazoa; Chordata; Mammalia; Artiodactyla; Suidae
Description: lncRNA (ENSSSCG00040064413.1)
Source: RNAcentral